Folsomia candida is the source of this 894-nucleotide long non-coding RNA. RefSeq lists it as uncharacterized. The transcript has 4 exons. Lineage: Eukaryota; Metazoa; Arthropoda; Collembola; Entomobryomorpha; Isotomidae. The record is from RefSeq and is a predicted model, not a curated record.
GUCCCCGUGGAUCUAUAAUCGGCUAGCAUUUCUUACAAUAUUGAACAAAUUUGAAGUCCGCAAUUUAACUAAAAUGGAACCCCCUCGACAGAUUGCAGGAUCGUUGUCAACUUGCGUUACGACAAAUGUAGUAACGGAGAUAUACGAGUGGAACUUGAUAAUUCCACACGCACUGUGUGUGCCUGACGAGGAUCCAUUUUUUUCCGUUCGUCUCUUUUGGUCGUCACGAUUUUACGACUGGGUCAUUCUCCAAAUAUGAAGACGCUUUUGUUAACGCACAGAUUGAACGACACGGAUCCAAGAUUUGGGUGACUAUUGUUCUACCUCCGUCUUCCGAACGGGGUCCAGUAUUUCGGAUAAAGCCAAUGAAGCUUUAUUUUAUGGAAAUGGGAAAAGUCCUCAGUGUUUUGAAGCAUGAGUUCACCAACUCGGACAAAUUGGGGUGUACAGGUUUCGCCGAUCAUAUUAAUAUGUCUGAUCAUUAUGUUCCCACCGUGGAUAAAAUUCGGCUCCGAUUUUUCAUCGAUGUUCAAAAAGCAUAUGAAGUGGCAGACGUGGAUAGAUCAUCGCAUUCUGAUUCGCUGCAUUCCGCGGACGCAAAGCAUCCUUUGACCGACUUAAAAACAUCACUGGGAAAAUUUAUCAAUUCUGCAAAAAUGUCGGAUGUUGUGAUUUGCUGUGAAGAUCGGGAAUUUUUAGCAAAUCGAUUGGUUCUUUCAGGUAGGCUGUGUUGAUUAUUACAAUUUCAAUCUAAUACAUCCCUCGAUUUUAUUUUUUUCUGUUUUAUCCCUUAACUAAAUCGUUCAAUUUAAAAUUACUCAGCGUACUUAACGCCAACUUUAGCAUAUCUCGUAAAUUGAGCUGAGCAACACAUUUAAAGUGCGAAGUUUUGCA